UAACAAGGAUUCCCCUAGUAGCGGCGAGCGAAGCGGGAAGAGCUCAAAUUUAUAAUCUGGCACCUUCGGUGUCCGAGUUGUAAUCUCUAGAAAUGUUUUCCGCGCUGGACCGCACACAAGUCUGUUGGAAUACAGCGGCAUAGUGGUGAGACCCCCGUAUAUGGUGCGGACGCCCAGCGCUUUGUGAUACAUUUUCGAAGAGUCGAGUUGUUUGGGAAUGCAGCUCAAAUUGGGUGGUAAAUUCCAUCUAAAGCUAAAUAUUGGCGAGAGACCGAUAGCGAACAAGUACCGUGAGGGAAAGAUGAAAAGCACUUUGGAAAGAGAGUUAACAGUACGUGAAAUUGUUGGAAGGGAAACGCUUGAAGUCAGACUUGCUUGCCGAGCAAUCGGUUUGCAGGCCAGCAUCAGUUUUCCGGGAUGGAUAAUGGUAGAGAGAAGGUAGCAGUUUCGGCUGUGUUAUAGCUCUCUGCUGGAUACAUCUUGGGGGACUGAGGAACGCAGUGUGCCUUUGGCGGGGGUUUCGACCUCUUCACACUUAGGAUGCUGGUGGAAUGGCUUUAAACGACCCGUCUUGAAACACGGACAAA
This 587-nucleotide ribosomal RNA is filed under the name Rhodotorula mucilaginosa. Its description in RNAcentral is "eukaryotic LSU rRNA". It matches the Rfam family "Eukaryotic large subunit ribosomal RNA", at positions 66 to 669 of the family's 3401-position model. Lineage: Eukaryota; Fungi; Basidiomycota; Microbotryomycetes; Sporidiobolales; Sporidiobolaceae. The record is from RNAcentral.